This 253-nucleotide ribosomal RNA is filed under the name uncultured bacterium. Its description in RNAcentral is "partial 16S ribosomal RNA". It matches the Rfam family "Bacterial small subunit ribosomal RNA", at positions 524 to 776 of the family's 1533-position model. The record is from RNAcentral.
UACGUAGGGUGCAAGCGUUGUCCGGAAUUAUUGGGCGUAAAGAGCUCGUAGGCGGUCUGUCGCGUCUGCUGUGAAAACUCAGGGCUUAACCCUGAGCUUGCAGUGGGUACGGGCAGACUAGAGUGCGGUAGGGGAGACUGGAAUUCCUGGUGUAGCGGUGAAAUGCGCAGAUAUCAGGAGGAACACCUGUGGCGAAGGCGGCCAGCUGGGCCGGACCUGACGCUGAGACGCGAAGGCGUGGGGAGCGAACGGG